CCUACGGGAGGCAGCAGUGAGGAAUCUUCCACAAUGGACGAAAGUCUGAUGGAGCAAUGCCGCGUGCAGGAUGACGGCCUUCGGGUUGUAAACUGCUUUUAUAUGGGAAGAUUAUGACGGUACCAUAUGAAUAAGGACCGGCUAACUACGUGCCAGCAGCCGCGGUAAUACGUAGGGUCCAAGCGUUAUCCGGAAUCACUGGGCGUAAAGCGUUUGUAGGCGGAAAUCUAAGUGAGAUGCGAAAUCUUGUGGCUCAACCAUAUAGACGGUAUCUCAUACUGGGUUUCUAGAAGAUAGCAGAGGUAAGUGGAAUUAGUAGUGUAGCGGUAAAAUGCGUAGAUAUUACUAGGAACACCAAUGGCGAAGGCAGCUUACUGGGCUAUAUUUGACGCUGAGAAACGAAAGCGUGGGGAGCGAACAGGAUUAGAUACCCUGGUAGUCCACGCCGUAAACGAUGUGUGCUAUUAGUUCGAGGUAUCGACCCCUUGGGCUGAACAGCUAACGCGUUAAGCACACCGCCUGGGGAGUACGAGCGCAAGCUUAAAACUCAAAUGAUUGAGG
This 561-nucleotide ribosomal RNA is filed under the name uncultured bacterium. RNAcentral describes it as "bacterial SSU rRNA". It matches the Rfam family "Bacterial small subunit ribosomal RNA", at positions 338 to 915 of the family's 1533-position model. The record is from RNAcentral.